RNAcentral lists this unclassified non-coding RNA (246 nucleotides) under Hevea brasiliensis (rubber tree). Lineage: Eukaryota; Viridiplantae; Streptophyta; Magnoliopsida; Malpighiales; Euphorbiaceae. The record is from RNAcentral.
UCUUGAUGUAAAAUAUAGCUAAUUGGAAGCGUACUCUUAUAUAAGAGGUGCAAUUUUGGUUUUCUAUUUCUCAGUUUGAAAUAUUUUUAGUUUUUUUAAUGCUUAGUGUACUGUCUUUGCUUCACAAAUUAUGUGGUAAAGUAUUAUCGUCUUAGAGAACCAAAUCCAAUUUUUUUGCAUAUGAAGAUCUAGUUUGAAUGUUGAUUGGGUUCAUUAGCGUAUCACUCAGUAUUGUAGAUCAUGCGG